CUUCCCCUCUUCCUCCUCUUUCUACCUAUACCACUCAUAUCCUCCAAAUCUCCACCAAUCUCCGUAGAUCUAAGCCUAACCGAAACCCUAGCCGCCGCCCAUCACCCCAAAACUCCAAAAAUUUUACACCACCGGCCUCCUCUUCUCCCCCUCUUUCCAUAUCUCCGACUCAAAAAUCAAAAAAAACCCACGCCGCCCUAGCGCCACCACCACUGCCCUAGCGCCGCCGCCACUGCCGCCCACUGCCGCCCGUUUCUUUUCUCUAACCGGCCUCGAGCAAGGUUGUGUCGUUGAUAUUAUUGAAACCGGACUCGGAUUCACCGGAAUUUUUUGGUUUCAAGAAUAUCAACAAUAGAAGCUUGCUCGAAAGUCGUACCACUGCCUAUCGUCGUCUCCCGGAUGCUCGAGUAUAUGAUAUUUUCACAUUAACAAGAAGAUUGGAACUCAUCUUGAUUGUUGGGAGCAUAUCCAUUUAAAUAAAUGAGUGCUUAGCUAAAUUUCUUUAUUGUUAAAUAUAUCUUGUUGUAGUUCAUAUGUAAAAAAAUAAAUCCUUGGUUGAUCAAACACUCUUUAUUCAUGUGUUAUU
Long non-coding RNA from Nicotiana attenuata, 586 nucleotides. RefSeq lists it as uncharacterized. The record is from RefSeq and is a predicted model, not a curated record. The transcript is spliced from 2 exons. NCBI's taxonomy places the organism in Eukaryota, Viridiplantae, Streptophyta, Magnoliopsida, Solanales, Solanaceae.